Molecule: long non-coding RNA, 1359 nt
Filed under: Nicotiana benthamiana
Lineage: Eukaryota; Viridiplantae; Streptophyta; Magnoliopsida; Solanales; Solanaceae
Description: long non-coding RNA (NBEN_LNC016560)
Source: RNAcentral
GACCGGAACACAUUCUUUUCUCUUCCAUUUCCUGGAUGAUUCCCUGGAAGGGUGAUCGCUGGUGAAUUGUACAUUUGGACAGCUUAGACUCCAUCAUUAAAUUUCCCUGGAAGGGUGAUCGCUGGUGAAUUGUACAUUUGGACAGCUUAGCUCAGUACAAAAAGUUCUAGUAACAUCCACUGGUAAAUCAACUUUGGAUAUAGAGGGGAGGCAUUUUAGUGAUUCAAAUCUCCUCUUGCCUUGUGGGAGGCCAAUAGCCUGUAAAUCUGUUCAACUAAUUAAUAGAAAGUAUAAUGUAUGUGAAUGUGUUAAUCGUUCUAGCGCAAUAGACAUUGGAUAGCGCCAGGUUGUUCCAUGAGUGCACGAAGUGAAAAUGAGGUUCAAUCUCGUGAUAGUUUUGGUGCGAGGGAAGGUAGGAGGGACUGACGAUGCUGAGGUUUUUUUCCUCCCAGUACGAUGUAUUUGGAAUGAGAAAGGUAUGCAGAACCCAUGACAGAGGUGUAAGAUUAUGUGAUAUGAAGGCGGAGCAGAACUGUGCAUAUGUAUGAUCAUGAGGAAUGAAGAUGGAGCAGAAACUGUCUGUAUGAUUAUGAGAUAUAAAGGUGGAGGAGAACUAUGCCUAAACCUUGUGUGAAAAUGAGAACCUGCCCUUUGUUUCUUGUUUGUACAGCGUAUUGAUGAGCCAACUCAGUUGAUAUUUGCUAGUUUAUUUCUCCUUGACACCUUAAUAUCAUCAAUUUUGGUGGGUUAAACUGUGGUUUAAAGGACAGCAAUCACCAUGAUUUGGUUUUUGUGAUAAUUAGAAGCACCAUGAACCUAUAGGAUUACUUGGUGGUGCAUCUAGAGAUGGAGAUCAAUGUCGGAAGAAGCCGUUGGUCGCGUCUGUUUGAGGUUUUUGGCAUGUCUAAUGAACUCCAACAAAUAAUUUUUUGGCUAGUUUCAAGAAACUUUAUCACGACCUAUGGAUGCUAUAGUUAAAAGGUAUAUAAUGAACUCCAACAAAUAAUGUUUUGGCUAGUUUCAAGAAACUUUAUCGCGUCCUAUGGAUGCUAUAGUUAAAAGGUAUUGGGCCAACCAAUUAAUUAUACUUUUUUAACAAUGAAUAUAUCGCCAAACAUCGUUUUAAUCCUCUGAAUUUCUAGCUGAUGAUUCUCCGUGGCAAGUAGGUAGGAGGUCCUAACUACGACAUAGCUCGGACUCCACGCGAGGCAUGUGGGCGGGGUGUUGGUUUUCUGGCUCUUUAUAGAUGUUAUUUCAGUUAUACAUUUUAUUCCAAAAUGUGGCAAGUUUAAGCGGUAGUUAGACCGGCGCCAACUGUUGGCCAGUCAAGAAAUUUUAUGUUCAGAAGUAGAAAGUAGC